This is a long non-coding RNA of Gadus chalcogrammus (walleye pollock), 2609 nucleotides long. RefSeq lists it as uncharacterized. The transcript has 3 exons. Lineage: Eukaryota; Metazoa; Chordata; Actinopteri; Gadiformes; Gadidae. The record is from RefSeq and is a predicted model, not a curated record.
CAAAUAUGUUGUUGGGUUACGAGUUUUUGAGUCUAAUACAUUUUAGACGGUGCCCCAAGGAAAACUACAAGUUCACCAGAUGGUUAAUGAAAGAAGGCCUACUUCGAAAAUGGAUGAAAUGCCCCUCUUGCUCUCAUGUUAUGAAGUUGAAACGGUCCUACGGCAAAAAGGAGGCAGCAUGGUGAGUAGAACAACUAGACAUGUGCCUUAUUUAUUAAUUCUUUCUUUGUGUGUAAGCAUAGGGGAGUGUGCAGCAUGCAGCCAUCCAAUUAUAUCUGCUAGAAUUCAGUGGCAAAUCCUAUAUUUUACGACAAUUUUUUUAAUACAGAAGUUAUGAGUGGUGUACACACAAAAUAUGCUAAGUCACAUCUAGACAGUCACAAUACAAAUCACACACACAGCUGCAAAUUUUAACUUUUAAGUAAGCUACUGUUUAUUUGGUAGAGAUAGGGGUGUUAAUGUUUCCACAAAGUAUAUGUGUACAAAAUCUGAAAUGAAAAAUUGCUUUUUACCAAUUUUAGAUCACAUUCCUGGUCAUAUUGUUCACCUAUUUAACAAUACAUGCCACCAAUCAGCUUGACUUUAAACUUGUACAUGCACAGGGAUUAAUUGAUUGAUAUCACCCUUUUCAUGCUGCGUGGCACGGAAGCACAAGUGGUGACAAGUAGAGUAGAGUAGACACAGCUAAAUUUACUCAAAUGUCUAACCCAAUUUAAGGUGUAAGUUAUAGAUAUUACUUGUCAAGUAGGCCUAGAAAUGGGACUGUUCUGUUGUGCUUUGAGAUUGCAUGGGGGGAGGGAAUCACAAGAACUACGACCUUGUUCAAUCCCAAUCUUAGCUGUUUCAACACUUAUACAUAAACAUCUAUGUCCCCCUCUCCAUCUUCAUUUAUGUUACAUUUUUAUUAAGUGAAAUCAGCACAGUAUCAUAGGUUUUUAUUUUGUUACAUUAACCUUUGGAUUUAAUCAUCAGGACAUGCCGAGAUUCCUGUCACAAAGGGAAAACGGUGUCGAGGUCCAUCCGAAGUGGCUCAAUGUUUGAGAAUUCUCACAUUCGACUGCAUACGUGGAUGCAUUACAUCUACAGAUUCGCCCAAGGCCUUCGACUGAGACAAGUGGACAUGCUGCAGGAAGGAAUUACUCGGAGUUCUGCAACUCUGAGUAAACUUGCAGACAAGCUGCGGAGAGUUUGCAAAUCAGGAAUGAAAAGAAUGAGAAGAAGAGGCAAGCAGACUGUUGGACAAAGAGCAAAGAUUGUUAUGAUAGAUGAAAGCAAAUUUGGCCAUAAAAGAAAGUACAACAGAGGACGGGCAAGCAACAGGAGUUCCUGGGUGUUCGGAAUGCUAGGGAUUAAGAAUGACAGGAGGAGACCCAUUCUUAAGAUUGUGCAUCACCGUUCAGUCAGGCAUCUAAUAAAGAAGCAUGUUCGUCGUGGAAGCUCUGUCAUUUCAGAUGGGUGGAGGUCUUACCGCCGUCUUCAGGAUGAAGGGUACAAUCACCUGACUGUCAACCAUCAAGAUUUUUUUUGUCGACCCUGUUACAGGUGCACAUACACAAAACCUGGAGAGAUUUUGGGGUAUUUGCAAGUCAACUAUCUGGAGACAAAGAGGGAACCGCACACAAAAACUGUUGAGGGAUCACUUAGAUGUAAUUGAGUGGACUUAUUGGCGUGGAAAACAUCACAAUAACGGAACACUUGGAAUGCUUUUGCAUGACAUUAGGAAAAAAUAUCCAGUAUGAAACCUGUCUGAAAUGUAGAUGCAGAUAUCAAGUUGAUAUUUAUACUACCAGUCAAAAGUUUCGACACACUAAAUGUACUGUUACCUCCAGGGCUGUAGUGGUCAAAUUAGAGGUGGGUAAACUAUGAAUUUUGUGAUCAGACCGACCUCGACACAACGCAACGCAACGCAAAGUGUUGCGACUCUGUAAGGCAAGCCUGGCUAUAUUCCAUUAUGUUAUCAAUUAAAGUCAUAUUAAAUCAAUCAAUGACAGUUAAUGAAUGUGUUUGUAGUUUAUUCAAGUUAUUCAAAUAUCAACAGUAAAGAAAGGUAUGUGUAGAUUAAGAACUAUAUCUAUGGCAUGUGUGUAUGUGUGUGUAUUAGUAUGCAUGCUUUUCACAGUAGUGCCCAGAGGGUCUCAUGUCCUCCACGUCAGGUCCUGCCUUGCAGGGGUGUGUUCUGGGGUUCAUGGCUCCCCUGUGCUUCACCAGCCAGGACUUCACAUACGUGUUGGAUUGAACUUUGUGGUGGCUGAGUGGUGGGCCAUUCAGUUGAAUAAACAUCAAGGACGACACUGUGACCAUGAAGUGCAGACUGCAUCUCAGGGGGCACACUAUGAUGUUCGUUAAGCUGAACCCCCUCUCACACUCAGCAGUGCUAACUGGAAUGAGAUGGUCGAUAUUCAGGAGUGGUGCAAGGUUUUCUGGAAUGAUGCUUGAGUUAUCCUUAAAAUCCCUAUAGCCUUCAAGAAUUUUUCUGUCAUCAAGUCUGAACCUUUGGGCAAGUUGUUUCAACUUGGAUUCCCCAUACGGUUCCUCUAGUCUAGGGGAACAGGCCAGUUUGCUGGGAAAAUAACUUAAAAGAAAAUAAAUAAUAAUCGAUUUAACCGCCA